AAAUAUUUAUUUCGGUUUUUAAUUUCGGUUUUUUUUUUCAAUUAGGUUUAAGCAUAAAAGUGAUUAGUUUUUUUUAGUUUUUAAAGUUAAGCAUAAAGUGAAAGUCGUACAAAAUAAUACUUCCCCAAGAUACACAAGGCAUAAAAAUACUUCUGCAGGAUCCAUCCAAGACACAUCUGUUGAUUGUUUCACAAGAGCCGCAAGCAGAGAGUCCAUAUUCAUAAAUACCUGGCAAAAAAAAAACUACAAAACAUACGGCUGUAAACUGUGGUGGCACAAGAAGAUACAAUUAUACUUCAUUUUACCGCUUUUCUACACAAACCUACAUAAAUACGGACACUCUACGUCCAUAUUCAUAAAUACCUGGCGAAAAGAAAACUACAAAUCGUACGGCUGUAAACUGUGGCGGCGCAAUGAGGUACAACACGGCAUCUUCGGAUAGUUUUUCUACACAAACCUACAUAAAUACGGGCAUCUGAUGAAUCUGGGGGCUCCGAGUAGAAUCGCAAGUAGAACCAAUACUUUGUUUUGACACUGAUUCGGCUAUCGGAAAUUAGAUACUGUGGUUAUCGGGUGAAUGGAUAGGAAUAUUAUAUUUUGCUACUAAUAAUUAUAUUACUCGUGAUUAUAUUUUGAUACUAAAACACACAAAGAUGUUUAAUUGUUUGACUGAAGCAGAAUGGGGUUGGACUCUAAAAGCUUCCAGCAAAAUGCUGAUUUACUUUCGGGGACAUGCAUUGAAUAUCCCCAUUCCCCUUUUGGAAAAUUUUCCACAACUAAGAAUUCUUUUCGAUAUACUCGCAGAUGUAUAAAACCCCCGAGGGCAUGCUAUUAUUCAAGAUUUCAUCUUUAGUUUUACAAAUAUUUCCAGUAAACACAUGUACGUGUGUAUGUAUAUAUGAAUAUGCGACUGGGGCGGGAAGAUGCCAUGGAUGCACAGUUCAUAAAAAUACGAAUCAACGCAAAAUUCAAAAGAAAAUUUGAAACAAGCAAUCCAUGCCCCACAAAACCCCAGAUGUCAAAUUCGUCGUCGUGUGAGAAUACUGGAAAAAUAUCAGUAUAGUUCGGAGCGUCGGAAGUUAAACACAUAAAAAUAAAAUUCUAAAUUUCAAAAUUUUGUAAAAUAUUUAUUUCGGUUUUUAAUUUCGGUUUUUUUUUUUCAAUUAGGUUUAAGCAUAAAAGUGAUUAGUUUUUUUUAGUUUUUAAAGUUAAGCAUAAAGUGAAAGUCGUACAAAAUAAUAAUACUUCCCCAAGAUACACAAGGCAUAAAAAUACUUCUGCAGGAUCCAUCCAAGACACAUCUGUUGAUUGUUUCACAAGAGCCGCAAGCAGAGAGUCCAUAUUCAUAAAUACCUGGCAAAAAAAAAACUACAAAACAUACGGCUGUAAACUGUGCUGGCACAAGAAGAUACAAUUAUACUUCAUUUUACCGCUUUUCUACACAAACCUACAUAAAUACGGACACUCCCCCUUUUGGAAAAUUUUCCACAACUAAGAAUUCUUUUCGAUAUACUCGCAGAUGUAUAAAACCCCCCGAGGGCAUGCUAUUAUUCAAGAUUUCAUCUUUAGUUUUACAAAUAUUUCCAGUAAACACAUGUACGUGUGUAUGUAUAUAUGAAUAUGUAUACUAUUACGACAAACAAUAUAUAAAUAUGGGAAUAUGGAUUAAACCUAGAACUUGUUGUUGGGAAUGACUCAUCCCUCGGCAGCAACGGGUACGUUGAGGACGGGCUUUGCCUCCAGAGCUGGUUCCUGUGCAGGCUGUGACUGGACGAGCACCUUGCUGGGCAGGAGAUGCUUGAGGGGCUCUAGGAUGCGCGCCUGCUGCAGAUAGGUGAGCUGCUGCUGCUCCAGCUGCAGGAGGCUGAUGCCCAGGUGAACGGUGAGCGACUGGGGCGGGAAGAUGCCAUGGAUGCACAGUUCAUAAAAAUACGAAUCAACGCAAAAUUCAAAAGAAAAUUUGAAACAAGCAAUCCAUGCCCCACAAAACCCCAGAUGUCAAAUUCGUCGUCGUGUGAGAAUACUGGAAAAAUAUCAGUAUAGUUCGGAGCGUCGGAAGUUAAACACAUAAAAAUAAAAUUCUAAAUUUCAAAAUUUUGUAAAAUAUUUAUUUCGGUUUUUUAUUUCGGUUUUUUUUUUUCAAUUAGGUUUAAGCAUAAAAGUGAUUAGUUUUUUUUAGUUUUUAAAGUUAAGCAUAAAGUGAAAGUCGUACAAAAUAAUAAUACUUCCCCAAGAUACACAAGGCAUACAAAUACUUCUGCAAGAUCCAUCCAAGACACAUCUGUUGAUUGUUUCACAAGAGCCGCAAGCAGAGAGUCCAUAUUCAUAAAUACCUGGCAAAAAAAAAACUACAAAACAUACGGCUGUAAACUGUGCUGGCACAAGAAGAUACAAUUAUACUUCAUUUUACCGCUUUUCUACACAAACCUACAUAAAUACGGACACUCUACGUCCAUAUUCAUAAAUACCUGGCGAAAAGAAAACUACAAAUCGUACGGCUGUAAACUGUGGCGGCGCAAUGAGGUACAACACGGCUUCUUCGGAUAGUUUUUCUACACAAACCUACAUAAAUACGGGCAUCUGAUGAAUCUGGGGGCUCCGAGUAGAAUUGCAAGUAGAACCAAUACUUUGUUUUGACACUGAUUCUGCUAUCGGAAAUUAGAUACUGUGGUUAUCGGGUGAAUGGAUAGGAAUAUUAUAUUUUGCUACUAAUAAUUAUAUUACUCGUGAUUAUAUUUUGAUACUAAAACACACAAAGAUGUUUAAUUGUUUGACUGAACCAGAAUGGGGUAGGACUCUAAAAGUUUCCAGCAAAAUGCUGAUUUACUUUCGGGGACAUGCAUUGAAUAUCCCCAUUCCCCUUUUGGAUAAUGUUCCCCAACUAAGAAUUCUUUUCGAUAUACUCGCAGAUGUAUAAAACCCCCCGAGGGCAUGCUAUUAUUCAAGAUUUCAUCUUUAGUUUUACAAAUAUUUCCAGUAAACACAUGUACGUGUGUAUGUAUAUAUGAAUAUGUAUACUAUUACGACAAACAAUAUAUAAAUAUGGGAAUAUGGAUUAAACCUAGAACUUGUUGUUGGGAAUGACUCAUCCCUCGGCAGCAACGGGUACGUUGAGGACGAGCUUUGCCUCCAGAGCUGGUUCCUGUGCAGGCUGUGACUGGACGAGCACCUUGGUGGGCAGGAGAUGCUUGAGGGGCUCUAGGAUGCGCGCCUGCUGCAGAUAGGUGAGCUGCUGCUGCUCCAGCUGCAGGAGGCUGAUGCCCAGGUGAACGGUGAGCGACUGGGGCGGGAAGAUGCCAUGGAUGCACAGUUCAUAAAAAUACGAAUCAACGCAAAAUUCAAAAGAAAAUUUGAAACAAGCAAUCCAUGCCCCACAAAACCCCAGAUGUCAAAUUCGUCGUCGUGUGAGAAUACUGGAAAAAUAUCAGUAUAGUUCGGAGCGUCGGAAGUUAAACACAUAAAAAUAAAAUUCUAAAUUUAAAAAAAUUUUGUAAAAUAUUUAUUUCGGUUUUUAAUUUCGGUUUUUUUUUUCAAUUAGGUUUAAGCAUAAAAGUGAUUAGUUUUUUUUAGUUUUUAAAGUUAAGCAUAAAGUGAAAGUCGUACAAAAUAAUAAUACUUCCCCAAGAUACACAAGGCAUAAAAAUACUUCUGCAGGAUCCAUCCAAGACACAUCUGUUGAUUGUUUCACAAGAGCCGCAAGCAGAGAGUCCAUAUUCAUAAAUACCUGGCAAAAAAAAAACUACAAAACAUACGGCUGUAAACUGUGGUGGCACAAGAAGAUACAAUUAUACUUCAUUUUACCGCUUUUCUACACAAACCUACAUAAAUACGGACACUCUACGUCCAUAUUCAUAAAUACCUGGCGAAAAGAAAACUACAAAUCGUACGGCUGUAAACUGUGGCGGCGCAAUGAGGUACAACACGGCUUCUUCGGAUAGUUUUUCUACACAAACCUACAUAAAUACGGGCAUCUGAUGAAUCUGGGGGCUUCGAGUAGAAUCGCAAGUAGAACCAAUACUUUGUUUUGACACUGAUUCGGCUAUCGGAAAUUAGAUACUGUGGUUAUCGGGUGAAUGGAUAGGAAUAUUAUAUUUUGCUACUAAUAAUUAUAUUACUCGUGAUUAUAUUUUGAUACUAAAACACACAAA
Molecule: long non-coding RNA, 4148 nt
Organism: Drosophila miranda
Lineage: Eukaryota; Metazoa; Arthropoda; Insecta; Diptera; Drosophilidae
Exons: 11
Source: RefSeq, a predicted model, not a curated record